CAGCGUCAGCACACCCCCAGCAACCUGUUUUCACCGUUGGCGUUCCAAACGAUAUCUACGCAUUUCACCGCUCCACCGUUUGUUCCGGUUGCCCCUGAGUGGCUCAAGACAGCCAGUAUACCAAGCAGUUCCACGGUUAAGCCGUGGGAUUUCACAAGGUACUUAGCAAUCCGCCUACACACGCUUUAAACCCAGUGAAUCCGGAUAACGCUUGCACCCUCCGUAUUACCGCGGCUGCUGGCACGGAGUUAGCCGGUGCUUAUUCCUCUGGUACCGUCAGUUGAACUAGAAAGUCCCUUUUUCGUCCCAGAUAAAAGAAGUUUACAACCCAGAGGGCCUUCAUCCUCCACGCGGCAUGGCUGGUUCAGACUUGCGUCCAUUGACCAAUAUUCCUUACUGCUGCCUCCCGUAGGAGUCGGGCCCGUGUCUCAGUGCCCGUGUGACUGGUCGUGCUCUCACACCAGUUACUGAUCGUAGGUUUGGUGGGCCGUUACCCCGCCAACUGCCUAAUCAGUCGCACACCCAUCUUCAAGCGCCGGAGCUAUAAUAAUAAAGUGAUGCCACUUCAUUAUGUUACGGGGUAUUAAUCCGGGUUUCCCCGGGCUAUUCCCCACUCGAAGGAAGGUUGUGUACGUGUUCCGCACCCGUUUGCCGGUCGCCAUCAACUGUAUUGCUACAGUCAUGCUGCCCCACGACUUGCAUGUAUUAAGCCUGCCGCUAGCGUUCAUCCUGAGCCAGGAUCAAACUC
This 748-nucleotide ribosomal RNA is filed under the name uncultured bacterium. Its description in RNAcentral is "partial 16S ribosomal RNA". The record is from RNAcentral.